RNAcentral lists this ribosomal RNA (255 nucleotides) under uncultured bacterium. Its description in RNAcentral is "partial 16S ribosomal RNA". It matches the Rfam family "Bacterial small subunit ribosomal RNA", at positions 524 to 776 of the family's 1533-position model. The record is from RNAcentral.
UACGGAGGGUGCGAGCGUUGUCCGGAAUCACUGGGCGUAAAGGGCGCGUAGGUGGCCUGUGGAAGUCUGCGGUGAAAGCCCGGCGCUCAACGCCGGGUCGGCCGUGGAUACUCUCGGGCUCGAGCUUACUAGAGGCAGAUGGAAUUCCUGGUGUAGCGGUGAAAUGCGUAGAGAUCAGGAGGAACACCCAUGGCGAAGGCAGCUCCUCUGGUCGACCUCUGACGCUGAGACGCGAAAGCGUGGGGAGCGAACGGG